CGAACCGUGCGAACGUUGUUCGGAAUCACUGGGCUUAAAGGGCGCGUAGGCGGGCUGCCGCGUCCGGGGUGAAAUCCUCCCGCUCAACGGGAGAACGGCCUCGGAUACGGGCGGCCUCGAGGGGGGUAGGGGCGUCUGGAACUGUGGGUGGAGCGGUGAAAUGCGUUGAUAUCCACAGGAACUCCGGUGGCGAAGGCGAGGCGCUGGACCCCAUCUGACGCUGAGGCGCGAAAGCCAGGGGAGCGAACGGGAUUAGAUACCCCGGUAGUCCUGGCCCUAAACGUUGGGGACUGGGUAGUAGGCCGGACAUGGGCUUACUGCCGCAGCCAAAGUGCUAAGUCCCCCGCCUGGGGAGUACGGUCGCAAGGCUG
RNAcentral lists this ribosomal RNA (371 nucleotides) under uncultured organism. Its description in RNAcentral is "bacterial SSU rRNA". It matches the Rfam family "Bacterial small subunit ribosomal RNA", at positions 526 to 896 of the family's 1533-position model. The record is from RNAcentral.